RNAcentral lists this unclassified non-coding RNA (405 nucleotides) under soil metagenome. RNAcentral describes it as "partial contains 5.8S ribosomal RNA, internal transcribed spacer 2, and large subunit ribosomal RNA". The stretch from base 1 to 121 matches the Rfam family "5.8S ribosomal RNA", at positions 35 to 154 of the family's 154-position model. The record is from RNAcentral.
GAUGAAGAACGUAGCGAAAUGCGAUAAGUAAUGUGAAUUGCAGAAUUCAGUGAAUCAUCGAAUCUUUGAACGCACCUUGCGCCCUUUGGCCAUUCCGAAGGGCAUGCCUGUUUGAGUAUCAUGAACACCUCAACUCUUUAUGGUUUUCCAUGAUGAGCUUGGACUCUGGGGGUUUUGCUGGCUCACAGUCGGCUCCUCUAAAAUGAAUCAGCUUACCAGUGUUUGGUGGGUAUCAUGGGUGUGAUAACUAUCUACGCUUGUGGUCUUUCCACCAGGUAACCUUCAGCAGUGGAGGUUCGCUGGAGCUCAUAGAUGUCUCUCCUCAGUGAGGACAGCCCUUUGAAUGUUUGAUCUCAAAUCAGGUAGGACUACCCGCUGAACUUAAGCAUAUCAAUAAGCGGAGGA